Molecule: long non-coding RNA, 481 nt
Organism: Stegostoma tigrinum
Lineage: Eukaryota; Metazoa; Chordata; Chondrichthyes; Orectolobiformes; Stegostomatidae
Exons: 4
Source: RefSeq, a predicted model, not a curated record
CCUCCAUCCAGAACAUUGGGACCAAACAUGGAGGACAUGCAUGCCUCCCUUCAGCUUUUAAUCUUUUGGAAAGAUCACCUGAAAGAAUGCAUGGCAUGAUUUUGGAAACCACUGUUGACUUGUAUGCAAGUCAGAACAUAAUGCAGGACAAUAUAACAUAGUGGUUGGAAGACAUGCAACACCGAUCCUUCAAAGACUAAGCCUUGAGGAGAACCUAGAUCCUACUCUACUCCAACACACUAGGAUUGUAGAGAGAUGAAAAAUUCUGACAGGUUGUUUAGCCAAACCCAUGCAGAGGAUCAUACUUGGCUGUAGUUGUGAACCUUCUCAGCUCAACUGAAUUUUCUUAUGCCAGCAGAUUUUGUCACACCCGCUGGAACAGGAAGAGAAUGUGUAAUUUCGCAUAUCAUCCAAAUGAUAGCGCUUCCAGAAAGAAUACCGCCUCACAAUUGCCUUGAAGGGCAUUCUGGAAAACGCUGGA